RNAcentral lists this long non-coding RNA (914 nucleotides) under Homo sapiens (human). RNAcentral's name for it is "HSALNT0387796". Lineage: Eukaryota; Metazoa; Chordata; Mammalia; Primates; Hominidae. The record is from RNAcentral.
ACCCUUGCCUCGCCUGCUCCCUCUGCCUCAAAGCAGAACAUUCUGGACUUGGGGUGAAAAGCCUGGAUUUGAGCUAUGCUGCCCACCACUCUGCCUGGGUUUGCUUUUCUGGAUAACAUCUGCCUGCCUGCUGUGGCUCCACUGGUUGCCCCCCUGGCGCCACAUCUCUUCUCCUCUGCUGCUGGAGUCCAGGUCUGCCCUCCUGGGGCACCCGCCCAGCUCACAGGCAAACCUACCCGGUCUCGGGGGCUGUGACUGAGGGGUGUGGCAGAGGCUUCGGGUGUUCACUGGGAGCUUCCGCAGGGGAACCGGCCUGGUAGGAACGGCCGCUUUGGGGAAGGCAGAACCAUCGGGAACCAGCCUCAGGGUGCAGGCUUCCAGGACAGUGCUCACUCUGGGCAGAGCCACCACCACAUUGCUUACUCGUCCCCACAGAUGGAACAGGAGCGAGGUCGCCUGUAUCCUCCGGGAAAUGCUCCUGGAGGUCAGGGCAGCCGGGUGAGCACUGGGUCCGGCUGCUCUCCCCAGCUUCUCUUCUCCAGUCAGCCAACCCAGCCUCCGCGAGAGACAGAGGAAAGACAGACACGGCGUUGGCUGCGCGGGGGCCUGCAUCCCUCCCGACCUUCUCAUUUGAUCCUCCUGCCCUAUGCGGUUGGUGCCAACGUUCAUCCCAUUUUACAGAUGAGUAAACUCAGCUUCAGUGAGGCCGGGGCCUUCCUGGAGAUCACAGAGCAAGCACCAUCAGUCUCAACUGUCGCUGGCCGGAGCUGGCUCUACGCGUUUCUUUCCUCGUACUCUGUGGUCUACAAGGACAGGAGGGACGGGGUCUCGACCUGGACCAACCCAGGCUGGUCUCAAACUCCUGGGCUCAAGCAAUCCACUUGCCUAAGCCUCCCGAAGUGCUGGGAUAACAG